RNAcentral lists this ribosomal RNA (253 nucleotides) under uncultured bacterium. RNAcentral's name for it is "partial 16S ribosomal RNA". It matches the Rfam family "Bacterial small subunit ribosomal RNA", at positions 524 to 776 of the family's 1533-position model. The record is from RNAcentral.
UACGGGGGGGGCAAGCGUUGUUCGGAAUUACUGGGCGUAAAGCGCACGUAGGCGGCUUUGUAAGUUAGAGGUGAAAGCCCGGGGCUCAACCCCGGAAUUGCCUUUAAGACUGCAUCGCUUGAACGUCGGAGAGGUGAGUGGAAUUCCGAGUGUAGAGGUGAAAUUCGUAGAUAUUCGGAAGAACACCAGUGGCGAAGGCGGCUCACUGGACGACUGCUGACGCUGAGGUGCGAAAGCGUGGGGAGCAAACAGG